AGUCCCCACAGCACUCCAAGUCGCAGGGUGCCCUCUAGCCAGAGUCCUGGCAGCCCCUGGGGAAGCAGAUUUCCCAGAGAUCCUUGUAGCAACCCAAGUAAAGCCAUGUCCACCAGCAGCAGAGAGACCCAGGGCCUCAGCCACAGAUCAUGCUGCCCAUGGAGAGGCCCAUCCCCCGGUACUGCAGCAUCAUGUUGGAAAGCAGCUUGGAUGCUGCAGACACGGAGAUGCGUUCCCCAUUCCGAAGAUAAUACAGCCUGUACAAUCGAGCGAGGAGGAGGAGAGAGAAGGAGGCCUCAGGGGCGGCAGCUACACCUGCAUUCAUUUUCUCCCAUAGCACGAGGGAGCAGGGAUUGUAGAGAUGAGUG
Molecule: long non-coding RNA, 368 nt
Filed under: Mus caroli (Ryukyu mouse)
Lineage: Eukaryota; Metazoa; Chordata; Mammalia; Rodentia; Muridae
Description: lncRNA (MGP_CAROLIEiJ_G0003017.1)
Source: RNAcentral